RNAcentral lists this RNase P RNA (404 nucleotides) under Pseudonocardia petroleophila. RNAcentral's name for it is "RNase P RNA component class A". It matches the Rfam family "Bacterial RNase P class A". From Rfam's summary of the family: Ribonuclease P (RNase P) is a ubiquitous endoribonuclease, found in archaea, bacteria and eukarya as well as chloroplasts and mitochondria. The record is from RNAcentral. Lineage: Bacteria; Bacillati; Actinomycetota; Actinomycetes; Pseudonocardiales; Pseudonocardiaceae.
CGAGCUGGCCGGGCGGCCGCGUCGACGGUCUCCGGACCGUCGCCGAGGAAAGUCCGGACUCCGCAGGGCAGGGUGGUUGUCAACGGCAACCCGGGGUGACCCGCGGGACAGUGCCACAGAGAACAGACCGCCUCCGGGGCAACCCGGGGGUAAGGGUGAAACGGUGGUGUAAGAGACCACCAGCACCCCGGGUGACCGGGGUGGCUCGGUAAACCCCACCCGGAGCAAGACCAAGAGGGCCCCGCUCCGGCGGGGCCUGCGCAGGCGUUCGAGGGCGGCCCGUCCGAGUCUGCGGGUAGGUCGCACGAGCCUGCCGGCGACGGCAGGCCUAGAUGGAUGGUCGCCGGGCGGUGCGCCGCAAGGCGCUCCGCUCACAGGAUCCGGCUUACAGGCCAGCUCGUCCC